RNAcentral lists this unclassified non-coding RNA (250 nucleotides) under root metagenome. RNAcentral describes it as "partial contains small subunit ribosomal RNA, internal transcribed spacer 1, and 5.8S ribosomal RNA". The record is from RNAcentral.
UUUCCGUAGGUGAACCUGCGGAAGGAUCAUUAUCGAAUUCUAGAGAACAGGGAGAAGAACUGGAGGCUGUCGCUGGCAUGGCAUGUGCACGCCUUUAUUUUUCUCUCUGCUCUCAUACAUACACACACCCGUGCACCCUUUGUAGGCCCUCGGAAACGAGGAUCUACGUUCUUUAUCUACCUACGCAUACGCAUGUCCAGAACGUAUCACAAAACAUUUACAACUUUCAGCAACGGAUCUCUUGGCUCUC